Molecule: ribosomal RNA, 449 nt
Filed under: uncultured bacterium
Lineage: Bacteria
Description: partial 16S ribosomal RNA
Rfam family: Bacterial small subunit ribosomal RNA
Source: RNAcentral
AACGAACGCUGGCGGCAUGCCUAACACAUGCAAGUCGAACGAAGGCUUCGGCCUUAGUGGCGCACGGGUGCGUAACGCGUGGGAAUCUGCCCCUUGGUUCGGAAUAACAGUGAGAAAUUACUGCUAAUACCGGAUGACGACGAAAGUCCAAAGACUUAUCGCCGAGGGAUGAGCCCGCGUAGGAUUAGCUAGUUGGUGGGGUAAAGGCCUACCAAGGCGACGAUCCUUAGCUGGUCUGAGAGGAUGAUCAGCCACACUGGGACUGAGACACGGCCCAGACUCCUACGGGAGGCAGCAGUGGGGAAUAUUGGACGAUGGGCGAAAGCCUGAUCCAGCAAUGCCGCGUGAGUGAUGAAGGCCUUAGGGUUGUAAAGCUCUUUUACCCGGGAUGAUAAUGACAGUACCGGGAGAAUAAGCUCCGGCUAACUCCGUGCCAGCAGCCGCGGUAA